GGAUGCCUUGGCAGUCAGAGGCGAUGAAAGACGUGGUAGCCUGCGAAAAGCUUCGGGGAGUCGGCAAACAGACUUUGAUCCGGAGAUGUCUGAAUGGGGGAACCCAGCCAUCAUAAGAUGGUUAUCUUGUACUGAAUACAUAGGUGCAAGAGGCGAACCAGGGGAACUGAAACAUCUAAGUACCCUGAGGAAAAGAAAUCAACCGAGAUUCCCUUAGUAGUGGCGAGCGAACGGGGACUAGCCCUUAAGUGGCUNUGAGAUUAGCGGAACGCUCUGGAAAGUGCGGCCAUAGUGGGUGAUAGCCCUGUACGCGAAAAUCUCU
This 322-nucleotide ribosomal RNA is filed under the name Pseudomonas baetica. RNAcentral describes it as "bacterial LSU rRNA". It matches the Rfam family "Bacterial large subunit ribosomal RNA", at positions 26 to 390 of the family's 2925-position model. Lineage: Bacteria; Pseudomonadati; Pseudomonadota; Gammaproteobacteria; Pseudomonadales; Pseudomonadaceae. The record is from RNAcentral.